Molecule: ribosomal RNA, 2900 nt
Filed under: Klebsiella pneumoniae
Lineage: Bacteria; Pseudomonadati; Pseudomonadota; Gammaproteobacteria; Enterobacterales; Enterobacteriaceae
Description: bacterial LSU rRNA
Rfam family: Bacterial large subunit ribosomal RNA
Source: RNAcentral
UUAAGCGACUAAGCGUACACGGUGGAUGCCCUGGCAGUCAGAGGCGAUGAAGGACGUGCUAAUCUGCGAAAAGCGUCGGUAAGGUGAUAUGAACCGUUAUAACCGGCGAUGUCCGAAUGGGGAAACCCAGUGUGAUUCGUCACACUAUCGUUAACUGAAUACAUAGGUUAACGAGGCGAACCGGGGGAACUGAAACAUCUAAGUACCCCGAGGAAGAGAAAUCAACCGAGAUUCCCCCAGUAGCGGCGAGCGAACGGGGAGCAGCCCAGAGUCUGAAUCAGCUUGUGUGUUAGUGGAACGGUCUGGAAAGUCCGACGGUACAGGGUGAUAGUCCCGUACACCAAAAUGCACAGGUUGUGAACUCGAAGAGUAGGGCGGGACACGUGGUAUCCUGUCUGAAUAUGGGGGGACCAUCCUCCAAGGCUAAAUACUCCUGACUGACCGAUAGUGAACCAGUACCGUGAGGGAAAGGCGAAAAGAACCCCGGCGAGGGGAGUGAAAAAGAACCUGAAACCGUGUACGUACAAGCAGUGGGAGCACCUUCGGGUGUGACUGCGUACCUUUUGUAUAAUGGGUCAGCGACUUAUAUUCUGUAGCAAGGUUAACCGUAUAGGGGAGCCGCAGGGAAACCGAGUCUUAACUGGGCGUUAAGUUGCAGGGUAUAGACCCGAAACCCGGUGAUCUAGCCAUGGGCAGGUUGAAGGUUGGGUAACACUAACUGGAGGACCGAACCGACUAAUGUUGAAAAAUUAGCGGAUGACUUGUGGCUGGGGGUGAAAGGCCAAUCAAACCGGGAGAUAGCUGGUUCUCCCCGAAAGCUAUUUAGGUAGCGCCUCGUGAAUUCAUCUUCGGGGGUAGAGCACUGUUUCGGCUAGGGGGUCAUCCCGACUUACCAACCCGAUGCAAACUACGAAUACCGAAGAAUGUUAUCACGGGAGACACACGGCGGGUGCUAACGUCCGUCGUGAAGAGGGAAACAACCCAGACCGCCAGCUAAGGUCCCAAAGUCAUGGUUAAGUGGGAAACGAUGUGGGAAGGCACAGACAGCCAGGAUGUUGGCUUAGAAGCAGCCAUCAUUUAAAGAAAGCGUAAUAGCUCACUGGUCGAGUCGGCCUGCGCGGAAGAUGUAACGGGGCUAAACCAUGCACCGAAGCUGCGGCAGCGACACUAUGUGUUGUUGGGUAGGGGAGCGUUCUGUAAGCCUGCGAAGGUGGCCUGUGAGGGUUGCUGGAGGUAUCAGAAGUGCGAAUGCUGACAUAAGUAACGAUAAAGCGGGUGAAAAGCCCGCUCGCCGGAAGACCAAGGGUUCCUGUCCAACGUUAAUCGGGGCAGGGUGAGUCGACCCCUAAGGCGAGGCCGAAAGGCGUAGUCGAUGGGAAACAGGUUAAUAUUCCUGUACUUGGUGUUACUGCGAAGGGGGGACGGAGAAGGCUAUGUUAGCCGGGCGACGGUUGUCCCGGUUUAAGCAUGUAGGCUGGUUAUCCAGGCAAAUCCGGAUAAUCAAGGCUGAGGUGUGAUGACGAGGCACUACGGUGCUGAAGUAACAAAUGCCCUGCUUCCAGGAAAAGCCUCUAAGCAUCAGGUAACAUUAAAUCGUACCCCAAACCGACACAGGUGGUCAGGUAGAGAAUACCAAGGCGCUUGAGAGAACUCGGGUGAAGGAACUAGGCAAAAUGGUGCCGUAACUUCGGGAGAAGGCACGCUGGUGUGUAGGUGAAGUCCCUGCGGAUGGAGCUGAGACCAGUCGAAGAUACCAGCUGGCUGCAACUGUUUAUUAAAAACACAGCACUGUGCAAACACGAAAGUGGACGUAUACGGUGUGACGCCUGCCCGGUGCCGGAAGGUUAAUUGAUGGGGUUAUCCGUAAGGAGAAGCUCUUGAUCGAAGCCCCGGUAAACGGCGGCCGUAACUAUAACGGUCCUAAGGUAGCGAAAUUCCUUGUCGGGUAAGUUCCGACCUGCACGAAUGGCGUAAUGAUGGCCAGGCUGUCUCCACCCGAGACUCAGUGAAAUUGAACUCGCUGUGAAGAUGCAGUGUACCCGCGGCAAGACGGAAAGACCCCGUGAACCUUUACUAUAGCUUGACACUGAACAUUGAGCCUUGAUGUGUAGGAUAGGUGGGAGGCUUUGAAGCGUGGACGCCAGUCUGCGUGGAGCCAACCUUGAAAUACCACCCUUUAAUGUUUGAUGUUCUAACGUUGGCCCCUGACCGGGGUUGCGGACAGUGUCUGGUGGGUAGUUUGACUGGGGCGGUCUCCUCCCAAAGCGUAACGGAGGAGCACGAAGGUUAGCUAAUCCUGGUCGGACAUCAGGAGGUUAGUGCAAUGGCAUAAGCUAGCUUGACUGCGAGCGUGACGGCGCGAGCAGGUGCGAAAGCAGGUCAUAGUGAUCCGGUGGUUCUGAAUGGAAGGGCCAUCGCUCAACGGAUAAAAGGUACUCCGGGGAUAACAGGCUGAUACCGCCCAAGAGUUCAUAUCGACGGCGGUGUUUGGCACCUCGAUGUCGGCUCAUCACAUCCUGGGGCUGAAGUAGGUCCCAAGGGUAUGGCUGUUCGCCAUUUAAAGUGGUACGCGAGCUGGGUUUAGAACGUCGUGAGACAGUUCGGUCCCUAUCUGCCGUGGGCGCUGGAGAAUUGAGGGGGGCUGCUCCUAGUACGAGAGGACCGGAGUGGACGCAUCACUGGUGUUCGGGUUGUCAUGCCAAUGGCACUGCCCGGUAGCUAAAUGCGGAAGAGAUAAGUGCUGAAAGCAUCUAAGCACGAAACUUGCCCCGAGAUGAGUUCUCCCUGAGACUUUAAGUCUCCUGAAGGAACGUUAAAGACGAUGACGUUGAUAGGCCGGGUGUGUAAGCGCAGCGAUGCGUUGAGCUAACCGGUACUAAUGAACCGUGAGGCUUAACCUU